UACGGGAGGCAGCAGUGGGGAAUAUUGCACAAUGGGCGAAAGCCUGAUGCAGCUAUGCCGCGUGUAUGAAGAAGGCCUUAGGGUUGUAAAGUACUUUCAUCGGGGAGGAAAAAACAAAACUAAUAAUUUUAUUUCUUGACGUUACCCGAAAAAGAAGCACCGGCUAACUCCGUGCCAGCAGCCGCGGUAAUACGGAGGGUGCUAGCGUUAAUCAGAAUUACUGGGCGUAAAGAGCACGUAGGUGGUUUUUUUUAAGUCAGAUGUGAAAUCCCUGGGCUUAACCUAGGAACUGCAUUUUGAAACUGAAAUACUAGAGUAUCGUAGAGGGAGGUAGAAUUCUAGGUGUAGCGGUGAAAUGCGUAGAUAUCUGGAGGAAUACCCGUGGCGAAAGCGGCCUCCUAAACGAAUACUGACACUGAGGGUGCGAAAGCGUGGGGAGCAAACAGGGAUUAGAUACC
This 458-nucleotide ribosomal RNA is filed under the name uncultured bacterium. RNAcentral's name for it is "bacterial SSU rRNA". It matches the Rfam family "Bacterial small subunit ribosomal RNA", at positions 340 to 786 of the family's 1533-position model. The record is from RNAcentral.